Molecule: long non-coding RNA, 486 nt
Filed under: Corvus moneduloides (New Caledonian crow)
Lineage: Eukaryota; Metazoa; Chordata; Aves; Passeriformes; Corvidae
Description: lncRNA (ENSCMUG00000019696.1)
Source: RNAcentral
GUUGGCAUUAAACCCUCAGUAAGUGUAAAGUGUAGAGAACUGUCUUCCUAAAAGCUGCUGCUACUGGGUCAUAACUGCUUAAAAUAAAGCUGCUGCAUACAAACCCCCUGGCUCUGGUGUCUCUUGGACAAAGACUGUGAGUAUUGCUCAGUGGGUGUGAACUGUACUCUUCCCAUCUAUUCCUCGAUGGAAUUCCACUGUGCCCUCGGGGAUUCAGGAGGUGCAGUCAGUGCUACAGAAAGGAUCACAGCGUUUCUGGGGAGCUCAGAGCUCUUCCAGUGCCGUGUCCAGCUCCCUUUGGAAGAGGCUGGGGAGCCCAGUGCCCUCAGACUGGCCCGGAAAUGGACCAGGUGCCUGUGGGACUCAGAGAUGAAAAGCUCUGCUCCUGGCUUCUCAUCCUUCUGUCUUCAAGACCAGAAGUGGAAUCUGCUCUCAUGAUUGUGCUGGGAGGCCGUGGUGAAAGGGGGAAUUAAAGGCAGAUUUCCC